UAGAGCUGCUUCCUGAUUCUGAAACCUCAGUUUCUCCAGCUCUGAAAUGGGGAUGAUAAUUCUGACCAGGCUAUGAUUCAUGAGAGCCAAAGGACACAGUGAUGUGGCUGACACGUAGCAGCAGCUCAAAAAUGCUAGUUCCCCUGUCCUUCGCACUACAUAUGUAUUCAUUGAGUCGGUACAUACUUCCUGAUCACCUGCCCUGUGCCGGGCCCUCUGUGGCUGGAUACAGUGGAGGCCAAGAUAGCCAGGGUCCCCGAGCUCAGCUGGAGGAGAGAGUCAGCAAAGGAGCACACGAGGAUGCAUGAAGUCAAGGUUUGGAAAAUGGUGUUAGGAUGCUGCUGACUGGGGCUUAGCUGUCAGUCGGAUGCUGCUGUCGGGGGGCCGCCUGGGCAAGUCGUGGCUUUCUGGGGAGCAUGAGAAGGUGACAUCUCGGUGCAGAGCCGAAGGAGGAGCUGGAGCAGCAAGGAAGGGAGAUCCGGGCAGAGUGAACAGCAGCACGAGGGCAGGAAAGCUGGAGCCGCUGGACACAUAUACCCCCUGGAUCAGGAACUGGAGUCCGCAGUGCCUAUAUCAGGCGAGUUUUCCGGGCUGCCCUCGGGGAGCAGAGCCCUACCCAGCCCCUCAGGAAAAGAGGGAAGGCGGAAUGUGGCGUGUGUUGGAGGACCUUCAGAGCCGUUCUGGACCUCACUUAAAAGGAGGGCAGAGACCUAGAUCGAAGGAACCACGGUUUCCAGAAUGAACUUGCAGAACUAAAGCAACUCCCCAUCGUUGCACCUUCCACCUCCCCUCUGGAAAUAAUGUCCUGCCUCAUCGAGCUACUGUGGGGCUCUGUUAUAGCGGCUCAGAGGGUAGCCUGCCAGAUGCGGAGGAGCGAACACAUGCUGCUGGGAGGGCCUCAGAGGUGUUUAACCUGGCCUUGUAGGGAUAGGUGUGGAGGGCUUCCCAGAGGAGGCAAAUUUUAAAUGGCGUCUUGACAACAAGGAGGAUUUUUCUAGACAACAUUUCCAGGCAGAGAUAUAGCAUCUGGGCACAUCCGGAGGGGGGAGGGAGAACACGGGGUUUUCGAGACACCUAAAGAAGCUGGUGGUGGCUAGAGUGUAGAG
Long non-coding RNA from Mustela lutreola (European mink), 1106 nucleotides. RefSeq lists it as uncharacterized. The record is from RefSeq and is a predicted model, not a curated record. The transcript is spliced from 3 exons. Lineage: Eukaryota; Metazoa; Chordata; Mammalia; Carnivora; Mustelidae.